GGAUCAUUAAAGAGUUGCAAAACUCCCAUAACCCUUGUGAACCUACCCAUAUGUCGUUGCUUCGGCGGGCAGUCCACCCCCCUCGCGGGGGCGGGCCUCGCCUCCCCUCGGGGGGGUGUCCGCCGGAGGGACCAACCAUAAACUCUUGCAUUUAGUGGCAUCUCUGAGUAUAUAUCAAAAUAAGUUAAAACUUUCAACAACGGAUCUCUUGGUUCUGGCAUCGAUGAAGAACGCAGCGAAAUGCGAUAAGUAAUGUGAAUUGCAGAAUUCAGUGAAUCAUCGAAUCUUUGAACGCACAUUGCGCCCGCCAGUAUUCUGGCGGGCAUGCCUGUUCGAGCGUCAUUUCAACCCUCAAGCCCAGCUUGGUGUUGGGGCUCUGCGGCCUGCCGCAGUCCCCGAAAAUCAGUGGCGGGCUCGCUAUAACUCCGAGCGUAGUAACAUACAUCGUUCUGGAAGAGUGGCGGGCGCUUGCCGUUAAACCCCCCAAUUUUCUAAGGUUGACCUCGGAUCAGGUAGGAAUACCCGCUGAACUUAAGCAUAUCAAUAAGCGGAGGAAAAGAAACCAACAGGGAUUGCCCCAGUAGCGGCGAGCGAAGCGGCAACAGCUCAAAUUUGAAAUCUGGCUUCGGCCCGAGUUGUAAUUUGUAGAGGAUGCUUUUGGCACGGCUCCUUCUGAGUCCACUGGAACGUGGCGCCAGAGAGGGUGAGAGCCCCGUAUAGUCGGACGCCUAGCCUUUGUAAAGCUCCUUCGACGAGUCGAGUAGUUUGGGAAUGCUGCUCUAAAUGGGAGGUAAAUGUCUUCUAAAGCUAAAUACCGGCCAGAGACCGAUAGCGCACAAGUAGAGUGAUCGAAAGAUGAAAAGCACUUUGAAAAGAGGGUUAAAUAGCACGUGAAAUUGUUGAAAGGGAAGCGCUUAUGACCAGACUUGUGCCGGGCGGAUCAUCCAGCGUUCUCGCUGGUGCACUCUGCCCGGUUCAGGCCAGCAUCGGUUCUGGCGGGGGCAUAAAGGCCGCAGGAAUGUAUCUCCCCCGGGAGUGUUAUAGCCUGUGGUGUAAUACCCCCGCUGGGACCGAGGACCGCGCU
This 1084-nucleotide ribosomal RNA is filed under the name uncultured fungus. RNAcentral describes it as "eukaryotic LSU rRNA". The stretch from base 499 to 1084 matches the Rfam family "Eukaryotic large subunit ribosomal RNA", at positions 1 to 599 of the family's 3401-position model. The record is from RNAcentral. Lineage: Eukaryota; Fungi.